This 497-nucleotide ribosomal RNA is filed under the name uncultured bacterium. Its description in RNAcentral is "partial 16S ribosomal RNA". It matches the Rfam family "Bacterial small subunit ribosomal RNA", at positions 28 to 507 of the family's 1533-position model. The record is from RNAcentral.
GAUGAACGCUGGCGGCGUGCCUAAUACAUGCAAGUCGAGCGAACGGACGAGAAGCUUGCUUCUCUGAUGUUAGCGGCGGACGGGUGAGUAACACGUGGAUAACCUACCUAUAAGACUGGGAUAACUUCGGGAAACCGGAGCUAAUACCGGAUAAUAUUUUGAACCGCAUGGUUCAAAAGUGAAAGACGGUCCUGCUGUCACUUAUAGAUGGAUCCGCGCUGCAUUAGCUAGUUGGUAAGGUAACGGCUUACCAAGGCAACGAUGCAUAGCCGACCUGAGAGGGUGAUCGGCCACACUGGAGCUGAGACACGGUCCAGACUCCUACGGGAGGCAGCAGUAGGGAAUCUUCCGCAAUGGGCGAAAGCCUGACGGAGCAACGCCGCGUGAGUGAUGAAGGUCUUCGGAUCGUAAAACUCUGUUAUUAGGGAAGAACAUAUGUGUAAGUAACUGUGCACAUCUUGACGGUACCUAAUCAGAAAGCCACGGCUAACUACGUG